Molecule: ribosomal RNA, 465 nt
Filed under: Vreelandella stevensii
Lineage: Bacteria; Pseudomonadati; Pseudomonadota; Gammaproteobacteria; Oceanospirillales; Halomonadaceae
Description: partial 16S ribosomal RNA
Rfam family: Bacterial small subunit ribosomal RNA
Source: RNAcentral
CCUACGGGGGGCGGCAGUGGGGAAUAUUGGACAAUGGGGGGAACCCUGAUCCAGCCAUGCCGCGUGUGUGAAGAAGGCCCUCGGGUUGUAAAGCACUUUCAGUGAGGAAGAACGCCUGGUGGUUAAUACCCAUCAGGAAAGACAUCACUCACAGAAGAAGCACCGGCUAACUCCGUGCCAGCAGCCGCGGUAAUACGGAGGGUGCGAGCGUUAAUCGGAAUUACUGGGCGUAAAGCGCGCGUAGGUGGCUUGAUAAGCCGGUUGUGAAAGCCCCGGGCUCAACCUGGGAACGGCAUCCGGAACUGUCAAGCUAGAGUGCAGGAGAGGAAGGUAGAAUUCCCGGUGUAGCGGUGAAAUGCGUAGAGAUCGGGAGGAAUACCAGUGGCGAAGGCGGCCUUCUGGACUGACACUGACACUGAGGUGCGAAAGCGUGGGUAGCAAACAGGAUUAGAUACCCGGGUAGUC